ACCCUUCGGGGUACUCGAGCGGCGAACGGGUGAGUAACACGUGAGCAACCUGCCCCUGACUCUGGGAUAAGCCUGGGAAACUGGGUCUAAUACCGGAUAGUACCCCCUGUUUCAUGGUGGGGGGUGGAAAGUUUUUCGGUUGGGGAUGGGCUCGCGGCCUAUCAGCUUGUUGGUGGGGUGAUGGCCUACCAAGGCGACGACGGGUAGCCGGCCUGAGAGGGCGACCGGCCACACUGGGACUGAGACACGGCCCAG
RNAcentral lists this ribosomal RNA (255 nucleotides) under uncultured bacterium. Its description in RNAcentral is "partial 16S ribosomal RNA". It matches the Rfam family "Bacterial small subunit ribosomal RNA", at positions 75 to 334 of the family's 1533-position model. The record is from RNAcentral.